GACGAACGCUGGCGGCGUGCUUAACACAUGCAAGUCGAACGGAAAGGCCCCUUUGGGGGUACUCGAGUGGCGAACGGGUGAGUAACACGUGAGUAACCUGCCCUUGACUUCGGGAUAACUUCAGGCAACUGGGGCUAAUACCGGAUAGGAAUCCUUGCUGCAUGGUGGGGGUUGGAAAGCUUCGGCGGUUUUGGAUGGACUCGCGGCUUAUCAGCUUGUUGGUGGGGUAGUGGCUUACCAAGGCUUUGACGGGUAGCCGGCCUGAGAGGGCGACCGGCCACAUUGGGACUGGGAUACGGCCCAGACUCCUACGGGAGGCAGCAGGGGGGAAUAUUGCACAAUGGGCGGAAGCCUGAUGCAGCAACGCCGCGUGCGGGAUGACGGCCUUCGGGUUGUAAACCGAUUUCAGCAGGGGCGAAGCUUGUGGUGACGGUACCUGCAGAAGAAGCACCGGCUAACUACGUG
RNAcentral lists this ribosomal RNA (465 nucleotides) under uncultured bacterium. Its description in RNAcentral is "partial 16S ribosomal RNA". It matches the Rfam family "Bacterial small subunit ribosomal RNA", at positions 28 to 507 of the family's 1533-position model. The record is from RNAcentral.